ACGAACGCUGGCGGCGUGCUUAACACAUGCAAGUCGAACGGAAAGGCCCUGCUUUUGUGGGGUGCUCGAGUGGCGAACGGGUGAGUAACACGUGAGUAACCUGCCCUUGACUUUGGGAUAACUUCAGGAAACUGGGGCUAAUACCGGAUAGGAGCUCCUGCUGCAUGAUGGGGGUUGGAAAGUUUCGGCGGUUGGGGAUGGACUCGCGGCUUAUCAGCUUGUUGGUGGGGUAGUGGCUUACCAAGGCUUUGACGGGUAGCCGGCCUGAGAGGGUGACCGGCCACAUUGGGACUGAGAUACGGCCCAGACUCCUACGGGAGGCAGCAGUGGGGAAUAUUGCACAAUGGGCGGAAGCCUGAUGCAGCAACGCCGCGUGCGGGAUGACGGCCUUCGGGUUGUAAACCGCUUUCGCCUGUGACGAAGCGUGAGUGACGGUAAUGGGUAAAGAAGCACCGGCUAACUACGUG
This 467-nucleotide ribosomal RNA is filed under the name uncultured bacterium. Its description in RNAcentral is "partial 16S ribosomal RNA". It matches the Rfam family "Bacterial small subunit ribosomal RNA", at positions 29 to 507 of the family's 1533-position model. The record is from RNAcentral.